Long non-coding RNA from Acanthopagrus latus (yellowfin seabream), 1490 nucleotides. RefSeq lists it as uncharacterized. The transcript has 5 exons. The record is from RefSeq and is a predicted model, not a curated record. NCBI's taxonomy places the organism in Eukaryota, Metazoa, Chordata, Actinopteri, Spariformes, Sparidae.
UUUAUCUGGAAGCCAUCUUUAAAGAGGGACGCCGCUCAGUUUGAGGGCCGGGGGAGACUUUCAUGUACGUGCUGUUGGUGCUGCUCGCGUUGUGCUGAUUCGUCAUUGAAGUCAUUAUUACUCGGUUACGGCAGGCGCAGCUGCUUAGUGUCAGUUUUUGCAGCGUUAGCCGUGGUUGCUAUUUACAUUCACAUCAUAGAAUAGUUUCUAUGGUUACACAAAUUUGCCCAAACACUGGUCAAGGGUUGUUUUUUUUUUUGUUUUUUUUUUUUUGCAAUGAUUCAGUUCUGCAGUUUGUAAAUAGUAAGAGCUGUUUCUUCUCUGCUAUGUUUUGGCCGCUGAUGCUUGCAGGAUCACCAUGUGUGAGAUUAUGGACAUUGUGAUAAUCCUGAUUCAUCCCAUCACAUUCAUCCCUGGAGUUGUUGAGCAGCUCAUUUCCGGGCUUCUUCCAUGGCUGGAAGAUCUCAUGAGCAAGAAGAAGAAGAAAUGGUUCAGAAAACUCUUCUACGGCCCAGAUCAACGCUCAGGAACAGACUUUGCUGCGACGGGUUUUCUCGCAGACGUUCUCACUGACUUACUGUCUUGUGGCUGCUCUCGACUUUUUCCCCCCUUGGAAUAAAAUAUGCAAAUAACACUUUGAAGACAGAAGCGACACCGUUGACGUCGAACAUCUGACUUCAGAGUUCAACAUCUGCUCUGCAGGUCGGCUCACGUUUUCAGGUGCUUGGUGAGGCUGGCUGUGGUGCCGGUCCACACACCUGCAGCACGUUGAGUGUAAUCAGCACCUGCUCUUAAACCCAGAUCUUCCCUCUGCUCCUGUGGUGCUCUCAGGAUCUCUCAAGUUUACGUAUUUACAAAGUCUUCUUGUGCCACCACUCCUCACAACCCUCAGCUGCCUGAGCCAUCCUCCUGUACACACCUGGAGUCUCCACCUGCACCACCCAGCGAGCCCUCAGCCUGCGCUCUGGCUCUCCGUCUCAUCCUACAAGCAAAAUCAUUCUUGUGAUCUAUAAAUUCACCAGCUCACCACCUGUUCCGUACGGCAACCGUCACAGAAGGGAUGCCAUUUAAACCUUUCAGUAACACAUCUUAAUCCACGUUAUUUUGUUGCUGCGGGUACAAUACAAACCCUCACCUUUUAAUUAUGGCAGCACAUUCAUGCAGGAUUUUACUUUAAUGAACACAGAGCAUGCUCAAUAAACAGACUUGGAUAGGAAAUAUAAAAGCUCUUCACCGCUUUCCCGAUCACCAAACGCUCGGAUGCGAGACCUGUUAUUUAGAUUUCCUUUUCUUGUUACCGAGGAGAGUUUUUUAGAAAGCACUCAAGUGGAUUUUCCAAAACAUUUUCCACACCAAAUAAGCGCUAAUCCCUCCUUUUCAAAUGCUUGAAAACUUCGUUUUAAAUAGAAAAAGCUGGCUGAUUCAGACCUCGUAAUAAACCUUGGCCUGACUUUGAGAAGGUGGUGGAGGUGGUGGGGGGACAUAAGUAC